CAAAAAGUAGCUUAAAACAAAGCAUUUAACUUACAAUUAAACCAUGUUAGAACCUUUUUGCG
This 62-nucleotide transfer RNA is filed under the name Anolis carolinensis (green anole). Its description in RNAcentral is "tRNA-Val". It matches the Rfam family "tRNA". From Rfam's summary of the family: Transfer RNA (tRNA) molecules are approximately 80 nucleotides in length. Their secondary structure includes four short double-helical elements and three loops (D, anti-codon, and T loops). The record is from RNAcentral. Lineage: Eukaryota; Metazoa; Chordata; Lepidosauria; Squamata; Anolidae.